Molecule: ribosomal RNA, 519 nt
Filed under: Polyura narcaeus (China nawab)
Lineage: Eukaryota; Metazoa; Arthropoda; Insecta; Lepidoptera; Nymphalidae
Description: partial 12S ribosomal RNA
Source: RNAcentral
UGGGAAAAAAUCGUGCCAGCAGUUGCGGUUAUACAAAAAUUAAAUUAAAUUAUUUCAGUGUAUAAUAAAUAAAUAUUAAUUAAAAUAAAUAUUAAAUUAUUGGGUGAAAUUUUAAUUUAAUUAAAUUUUAUAUUAAUUUUAUGAAUUAAUAGAUUUUAAUAUAAACUAGGAUUAGAUACCCUAUUAUUAAAAAUUUAAAUUAUAAUACUAAAAUAGUAAAUAUAAGAUAUUGAAACUUAAAUAAUAUGGCGGUAUUUUAGUUCAUUUAGAGGAAUCUGUUUAAUAAUUGAUAAUCCACGAAUAAAUUUACUUAAUUUAUUAUUUUAUAUAUCGUUGUUAAAAAAAUAUUUUUUAUAAAAAAUAAUAUUUUAAAAUUAAAAUAAAAAAUUAAUUCAGAUCAAGAUGUAGAGUAUAAUUAAGAAUAUAAUGGAUUACAAUAAAUAUAUUUAAAUGAAUAAUUAAUUGAAAUAUAAAUUUGAAAGUGGAUUUAAAUGUAAUUUUAUUUAAUUUAAUAAAAGU